AUGAAAAAGGAUCUUGUCCGUCAAACAGGGCUUCACGGCAUCCUUCAGCUGAAGUUAACUAAAGUUAACAGACAGUAUGGCGCAUGGCUUCUGAGCAAGAUUGAUGUUGAUUCAUGUGCCAUCGUAGCUGAUCUUCAUAAAGUGAUCCCCUUCUCUGCGAGGGACGUUAAUUCAGUCUUGGGUGUACCAUGCAGCGGGAGAACCAUUGAGACCUGUAACCAAGAUGAGGUAGAACGGAAUAAGAGGAUUCUUUGUGAUAUUUUUGAGGUUCCACACUUUUCACAGGUUACUGUUAAGUUUUUGGAGGCAAUUCUUAAUAAACAAUAUUCAUAUCCGAUGAGCUUAAAGGACCAACGAUCGUUCAAGGCGGCAUUUGUCCUUUAUGUC
RNAcentral lists this ribosomal RNA (387 nucleotides) under Triticum aestivum (bread wheat). RNAcentral's name for it is "partial small subunit ribosomal RNA". Lineage: Eukaryota; Viridiplantae; Streptophyta; Magnoliopsida; Poales; Poaceae. The record is from RNAcentral.